UGCAUUAUGAUGAUUUGUAGGUGGAGGGCAAAAUUACUCAAAAAUCACAAUACUUAAAAGACAUGGUUUAUGGAAAAUUUUCCUGAACUGUUGUCAUGAUUAAGAUCACCUUUGUCAUCCAUUUUUUGGAAGAGAAAGUGACGUUUGAUUGUGGCAUACGGUUAAGUACACUCGAGCCAAGUACAGCCUAACAAAAAAAACUGAUGUUAAGUACAUGAUCCAGAUUUUCUGAUAAAGUUAAUCGCGUGGUGGAGCUAAUAUUUGUUUGAAGAAUUGAAGAAUGGUAUGAGAUUGCUAGAAUGGGAAAAACAGAGUGAAGGAGAUUAAAGAAAGGAUGAUUGAUUAAUUGAGUAAUUAGUGGGUGUUUGGGGGCAAAAAGAAAAGGAGGAGGUAAUAGUGCAGUGCAACAUUAGGAAGAGACCAAAUGCGAGAGUCGUAAGCAGUAUAACAGCGGAGAGUGCACAAACAUAGUUUGUGGAAAAAUUGACAGUUGCCACUUGACUAAGUGGAAAACUGGGUGGCCACUUCGUAGAAUUAGGUUGCGCACCAUGUCACCAUGCAUACACAUACGUACGGUGAGCCACCCGUAGAACCCAAGUUUGAAUUUCCACCAAACACUAUAAACCUAAUCAUUCUAACCCAUUCUCUCAGUUUAAAUCAAAUUAAUUAAUUAUUUUUUUCGAUGAUGUAAUCACCUAAACUGCUCC
This 707-nucleotide long non-coding RNA is filed under the name Vigna radiata. RNAcentral's name for it is "long non-coding RNA (VRAD_LNC003713)". Lineage: Eukaryota; Viridiplantae; Streptophyta; Magnoliopsida; Fabales; Fabaceae. The record is from RNAcentral.